UCUGUUUAGUCGGGGUGCUGCUUGCGUGGCUGAGAAAUACCCGUGAACCUGAUUCAGUUAAUACUGGCGUAGGAAACUAAAUGCAAACGCAA
Kingella kingae ATCC 23330 is the source of this 92-nucleotide regulatory RNA element. It matches the Rfam family "TPP riboswitch aptamer (THI element)". Rfam says of the family: Vitamin B(1) in its active form thiamin pyrophosphate (TPP) is an essential coenzyme that is synthesised by coupling of pyrimidine and thiazole moieties in bacteria. The previously detected thiamin-regulatory element, thi box was extended, resulting in a new, highly conserved RNA secondary structure, the THI element, which is widely distributed in eubacteria and also occurs in some archaea. The record is from Rfam. NCBI's taxonomy places the organism in Bacteria, Pseudomonadati, Pseudomonadota, Betaproteobacteria, Neisseriales, Neisseriaceae.